CCAAUAGCGUAUAUUAAAGUUGUUGCAGUUAAAAAGCUCGUAGUUGAAUUUCGGGAUCAAUUUGCUGGUCGUGCCUCUGGUACGUACUGGUAUUAUUGGUUUCUCCCUUCUGACGAACCAUGAUGUCAUUAAUUUGAUGUCGUGGAGAAUCAGGACUGUUACUUUGAAAAAAUUAGAGUGUUUAAAGCAGGCAUUAGCUGGAAUACAUUAGAAGGGAAUAAUGAAAUAGGACGUUUGAUCCUAUUUUGUUGGUUUCUAGGAUUGACGUAAUGAUUAAUAGGGAUAGUUGGGUGCAUUAGUAAUCAAUUGUCAGAGGUGAAAUUCUUGGAUUUAUUGAAGACUAACUACUGCGAAAGCAUUUGCCAAGGAUGUUUUCAUUAAUCAAGAACGAAAGUUAGGGGAUCGAAGACGAUCAGAUACCGUCGUAGUCUUAACCAUAAACUAUGCCGACUAGGGAUCGGAUGAUGUUAAUUUUUUAAUGACUCAUUCGGCGCCUUACG
Molecule: ribosomal RNA, 500 nt
Filed under: uncultured Glomeromycotina
Lineage: Eukaryota; Fungi; Glomeromycota
Description: partial small subunit ribosomal RNA
Rfam family: Eukaryotic small subunit ribosomal RNA
Source: RNAcentral